Molecule: unclassified non-coding RNA, 262 nt
Filed under: Hevea brasiliensis (rubber tree)
Lineage: Eukaryota; Viridiplantae; Streptophyta; Magnoliopsida; Malpighiales; Euphorbiaceae
Source: RNAcentral
CGAAUUGACACAACGGGAUCGAGGCGCAACGAAGAACUGGUUUCGGGAUAAUUUCGCUUAUGUCCGCAAUUUAGAAUAUCUAAAGCAUUCCCUAGACGACUUUGACAAGUUGCGCGGAAAAACUGAACCCCAUGAGUAUAUAUAUAAAUCGUGUCGAAUAGCUGUCGCGCAUGCUGGAAAGGACUCUAAAUCUGACCCUGAUGAUGCGAGCGAACUACAACGACUGCACGCAGCAGCCAAUAUCAUGCAGGUGCUUGCCCGU